GACUUUGGCCAUGCUACCCUAAAUGUGCCCGAUCUUGGAAGCUAAGCAGGGUCGGGCCUGGUUAGUACUUGGAUGGGAGACCACCUCGGAAUACCAGGUGCUGUACGCA
This 109-nucleotide ribosomal RNA is filed under the name Pteropus alecto (black flying fox). The record is from RNAcentral. Lineage: Eukaryota; Metazoa; Chordata; Mammalia; Chiroptera; Pteropodidae.